Molecule: long non-coding RNA, 2843 nt
Organism: Etheostoma spectabile (orangethroat darter)
Lineage: Eukaryota; Metazoa; Chordata; Actinopteri; Perciformes; Percidae
Exons: 2
Source: RefSeq, a predicted model, not a curated record
CUCCAGGUCGAUCCUGUAGCGGUCCUGGAGUUCAGUUUGAGUCUCAAGACGCCUUCGUUCUUCUUCUGCUGCAUUAGUUGCAGCCUCCUCUAGAGCCUGCCCAAAGAAAAACAGGUCCAAUCUUUACCAUCAUGGAUCCCUCCUGCCUGACUUGUGUCAAAGGAACACUUCCACACUGAGCUAUUUUAAAUUCAGGAUACUACAAAAAGGAAAUGAUCUUGCACCAGACAUUUGCCGACCAGAGUGGAUUCACAGGGUAACGUUUAUUGUGUGUUUAUUUUCUCCUCACCUUCCUCAUGUUCUCCAGUUCAAGCUGUUUAGCCUCAUUGGCCGUCUGCAGUUCACUCAUCCUCAGCUCCAGCUCCUCCUGCUCGGCCUGCUGCUUCAGCCGCAGCUCCCGUCGCUUCUGUCGAGCCUCGCGGUGCGGCGCUGGCCGGCCCUGGCGCAGCAGGCUCACACAGGUCUGAACGGCUAAGUGGAAAACAUGGAGGAGACAUUAAAAUCAUGUCUGUAAAUGUAUGCUGACAUUACAAGUAAUACAAAAUGUACAGAUAAUCAGUGAAGAGCUGUGAAGCUUAGAUUUACAAUGUAAUAAAACAAUGAAAAUUAUAGGAAAAUAUAUAUAUACACAGACACAGACACACACAGACACACAGACACACACUCCGCAAGGUAUAUGUCCAUCCAUCCAUCCAUCCAUCCAUCCAUCCAUCCUUCUAUCUGUAGCUAAGAGGAAUUGUGUAAUGAAGAAGAGGAAAAACGUAGUAUUUCUAAUUUAUCUCUUUGUGAAGUUAAUUUUGAAAACAAUGUAAUGAGUUUUUAAAACAAAAAACUGCAAUGUAGGAUAUGUAGUAUUUAGAAAAACAAACUGAAAUCUUUGAGGUUGACAAAUAAAAACCUUCCAAUAACCUGGUUGUAUAAGUGUGCACACCCUCUUUUAACUGGGGAUGUGGCUGUGUUCAGAAUUAACCAAUCACAUUCAAACUCAUGUUAAAUAGAAGUCAUUACACACCUGCCAUCAUUUAAAGUGACUGAUUAAUCACAAAUAAAGUUUAGCUGUUCCAGUAGGAUUUUUCUGACAUUUACUUAGUUGCAUCUCAGUGCAAAAGCCAUUUUCAAAAGAAUUUUCCAAAGCAUUAAAUAUACCAUGGAACACAGUGAAGACAAUCAUCAUCAAGUGGAGAAAAUAUGGCACAACAGACACAUUACCUAGUAUUACCAAGAACCCUCCAAAAUUGAUGAAAAGAAGAGAAGAAAACUGCUCAUGGAGGCUUCCAAGAGGCCUACAGCAACAUUAAAAGGAGCAGCAGGAAUUGGCAAGUCCUGGCUGUGUGCUACAUGUGACAACAAUCUCCUGUAUUCCUCAUAUGAAUGGGCUUUGGGGUAGCGUGGCAAGACGGAAGCCUUUUCUUACAAAGAAAAACAUCCAAGCCAGGCUGAAGUUUGCAGAAACAAACAUCCAGUCUCCCAAAAGCAUGUGGGAAAAUGUGUUAUGGUCAGAUGAAACCAAGGUUGAAUGUUUUGGCCAUAAUUCCAAAAGAUAUGUUUUGCGCAAAAACAGCACUGCGCAUCACCCAAAGGACUCCAUCCCCACAGUGAAGCACGGUGGCGGCAGCAUCAUGCUUUGGGGUUUUUCUUCAGCUGGAACCAAGACUUCAGUCAGGGUGGAGGGAAUUAUGAACAGUUCCAAAUACCAGGCAAUUUUGGCACAAAACAGUCUGGCGUGCAGCAUGAUAACAACCUAAAGCACACUUCCAAAUCCACAAAAGCAUGGCUUCACCAAAAGGAGAUUACCGUAUUGGAAUGGCCCGACCAGAGCCCAGACCUGAAUCCAAUUCAACAUCUGUGGGGUGAUCUUAAGAGGGCUGUCCACAGGAGCUGUCCUCGCAAUAUGACAGAUUUGGAGCACUUUUGCAAAGAAGAGUGGGCAAUUAUUGCCACGUCAAGAUGUGCCAUACUAAUACACACCUACCCAAAAAGACCGGGUGCUGUAAUAAAAUAAAAAGGUACUUCAACAAAGUAGUAGUUUAAGGGUGUGCACACUUACGCUACCAGGUUAUUGUACGUUUUUAUUUUCCCCCCUCAAAGAUUUCAGUUUGUUUUUAAUUUGAAUUGUUAUAGGUCACAUUAAAAGGUGUAAAAAGUUCUGAAAUGAUUUCUCUUUUUCACAUCACAGAAACCUGCCAUUUUAACAGGGGUGUGUAUACUUUUUUAUAUUUACUGUAUUUAGAUUUAACUUCUCAUUGACAUUUAUUAGGUAUUCUACUUGAUACAGCUCAAAUAAAAUAUAGCUUAGGUAAAAAAAAUCUUUAAAAAAUAAAAAGACAUAAUGAGUCACCACCUUUAGCUUACACCUUACAGCUACUAAUUGUAUCUAAUUAUCUGACAAGUAAAUGUGCUGUAUUUAUAUAGCUCUUUUCUAGUCUUAACGACUACUCAAAGCGCUUUUACAUCUACAGGAGACAUUCACCAUUCACACACAUUCAUACACUGUGGCCGGGGCUGCCGUACAAGGUGCCACCUGCUCAUCAGAUAAACACUCACACACAUUCACGCUCCGAUGGCGCAGCAUCGGGGGCAACUCGGGGUUCAGUGUCUUGCCCAAGGACACUUUGACAUGGGACUGCAGGGCCAGGGAUUGAACCACCAACCUACCACUGAGCCACAGCGCCCCCCAAGUAAGAGGAAUGAUUCCUGAAGACAAUCCACUACUCACCCUGGAUCCACUCCAGCUUCUUCUUCUUGUCCGACGCACUGAUUUCAAAACUCUUUUGCAACGACUUGAUGAGAAAGAGACACUUCUUCCCGUCUUUAUCUUGUAGAGCCUGCAUCAAAAAACAAAA